Molecule: long non-coding RNA, 284 nt
Organism: Spea bombifrons (plains spadefoot toad)
Lineage: Eukaryota; Metazoa; Chordata; Amphibia; Anura; Pelobatidae
Exons: 3
Source: RefSeq, a predicted model, not a curated record
AGAUCGGGGAAUUCCGCAAAGCUUGUGAAGAUAAGAUAACCCAUAGGUAUCAAAACCCAUGGUCCCCUCUGCCACAUAUUCUUGAUGCACAAGGAUUUGGAGAACGAGUUUCCCUUGCGUGGAACCAUGAGAAAUAUGAUAAUUAUUGUUACAGCAAAGGUCCUUGGGCUUCGUUGAGGAAGCAAAGCAACCUAUGUACAUCAGCUGUGGAACGCUUUAGACCGGCAGGGACACCACGUGGAAGCCGCCAAUGAAUAGUAGAAGAGAAUCUUGGAUGGAAUAAC